Molecule: RNA transcript, 2248 nt
Organism: Toxorhynchites rutilus septentrionalis
Lineage: Eukaryota; Metazoa; Arthropoda; Insecta; Diptera; Culicidae
Gene name: zinc finger protein 227-like
Exons: 8
Source: RefSeq, a predicted model, not a curated record
UUGUGGCAUUGUUUCAAUGGUUUCAAUCAAUUCAAUGGACUUCAGAGGCGAAUGAACUCUAUGAGUUUAAAGCCUCUAUAAUUCAACAACGAACGAACGUAUUCAAUGGAGAAUAAGAAAACAUUUAUAAAAAAUGGUGAAAACUGAGAGUUGUGCAUUAUGUUUUGCAAAUAAAUCGAAAGGGUUUCUGGAUAUAUUCUGUGUGGAAAAUCAAUCAAUGAAUAUUUACUCAAUUAUUUCUAAACAUUUGUGGUUUGACUUGAAGCCUUCCGACCAGUGUUAUGUAUGUGCCGAAUGCUGGAAAAAUGUUUACGAUUUCCAUUUGUUUUAUUGUAAAUUAGAAAAAAUACAUUUGGUUAAAAAUGAAUCCAAUUCUAAGUCUAUUCAACAAAUUGAACAACCGGGUGGAGAACCAUUAUUCGACGAUGGUCCUGAUUACAACGACGAUGAUGAUGAUAAUAAUGACACCGAUGUGAAAUAUGCUACCGUAAAGAAAACAGAAAUGGCCAAAACCGGCAAACGUCUAGGAAGACCACCGAGAAACACAACCACCAAAAAAGAUUCGGAAACAAAAAUCAAUGCAUCUGAAUAUAGCCAAUGUUCGAAGGAUGGCGAGGAAAAACAUGAAACGAAAAAAAGGAGAAGAUUUAAGAAGGAAUCUAGUGAUGAAAGUUCAGAAUCAGAUACAGUCUCCAACUGUGGUGACCAGAGAAAAAGUUCUGGAAAACGUACAAGGGAUGAGAGAUUGUUCUCAUAUAUUUCGGAAUUUAUUUGCCAUAUUUGCCCGGAACGAGUGGAGUUCGAACGGUUUCAUCAUGCAAACCAGCACUAUCAUGAAGUUCACCAAGAACCGGCGUAUUUGAAAUGCACGAAAUGUGAUCGAAAAUGUUUCUCUUCGGGGGGAUUUAUCAAUCAUAUGGAGACUCAUGAUGACCCGGAAAAGAAUAAGUGUCCCAUUUGUGGCAAAGUCACAGACCAGAGAAUAACACUCAAAAAGCACAUGAGAGCACAUAGUCUCCAGAUGGAGGAAACAUUACCUUUUUCCUGCAGCCAAUGUCCGCGUCGGUUUGGUUUGGAAAAGGCCAGAGAUAAGCACGAACGGCUACACGAAAGAAAGUUUGUAGUGAAACGAGAGAAAGGGCGCGAUGAAGUGCUGAUAACUUUUUACAAGAAAAUUUCGUGCGACAUUUGUGAUGAGGAGAAAAACGAUCACAUUACAUACGACAACUUUUGGGAUCUCAAAAAUCAUAUGAACUCCGAGCACAAUAAGACACCCUAUCUGAAGUGCCCAAUUUGCUUCAAGAAAAAUAUCUGUCGGCAACAGCUGAUAGUUCAUAUCGACGUGCACGAGAAUCCGGACAAAUACAGAUGUGAUAUUUGCGGAGAAGUGUAUCAAUUCCUGGAGAAACACAAGUUCAAAGAUCACGAACGCGAAGCAGAAACAGUCCUUAAAAGCUAUAGUUGCGAGCACUGUGGUAAAAUGUUCCGGUGCGAAGGCAACCUCAAGUAUCAUAUCGAUUGCGUGCAUGGUGUUAAGGAUGUUGUGUGCGAUGUAUGUAAAAAAUCAUUUAGUAAAAAGGCAAUCAGCGCCCACAAGCGAUUAGUUCAUAGUGAUAAGAUGUUUAUGUGCGAACAGUGUCCAAAGAUGUUCAAAAAUCGCAACGGUCUGGAAUUGCACAAGAGUGAACAUGAUAUUGAGCUGCGAAAGCCAGUGAAAUGCGAGCUAUGUGGCAAAGAGAUGCGUCGGGGUUCAAGCUUGGCGAAGCACAUGAAGAUAAAUCUGUACGUGUGGUAACACUGCUUGUAGCAUCGAUAGCUGAAACAAACACGAAGGACGAGUAAAUUCGACUGUGGCCUGAGGAUAAGUUACUAGAUUACGAUAGCAAACCUGUUUCCAUGACCACUGAAGUGUUAACUGACGAAGCAAUAGUCAACUCUGUUCUAAACAGAGAAGAUGAUUUAACUUCUGUGGAGUAGAAACGGUUGGAAACCAUCACGAACGGAAGUGUAUGUGUAAGCGAAAACAAGGAGCCUGAAUAGAUUUCUCAACUGCGAUGAAGUUACUUAAUAGCGUGAUCACGCUAUUAAGUCCAUUGUGUAAACGGAUUAAAGUUCAGGAUUCACCGGAGAAAACGCAAUCCAAUACAAACGUUGAAACAGAAAAUCCUACGGUCUGAAAUGCUAGAAGCACAUUGGAAGAAACGUAAUUCCUAACGUAGUUCAAUUAUUAUAUUUCAUUGCAUUUGAU